AAGGCUUCACCAAGAGUCUUAAUGCCUUCAACGUAGGCGAUGACUGCCCAGUGUUUCCCGGGCUCUUUGAGUUCUGCUCGCGUUACACAGGCGCAUCUCUGCAAGGAGCAACCCAGCUGAACAACAAGGUGACAUAGUCCCGAGUCCUGUUCUUCCUUUCCUCUGGAUCCCUGGACUCGGGAUUUAACCCUGAUCCUGGGCUCCCAGCUUGAGGGGUGGGCAGGAAGGACUGUGACUUAGGUGUUUGUCUUUCAGAUCUGUGAUAUUGCCAUUAACUGGGCUGGUGGUCUGCACCAUGCCAAGAAGUUUGAGGUGAGUGAGGAGGUGAUGGGAAAGACAGUGGCCAUCCUAGGGUAGGUGUUUAGGAUGAUGGUGGGGGGCAGCUGGGAGGGGAAUUGCUCUUCUCUUUGUGAGACCACUGUCUUGCCAUAGGCCUCUGGCUUCUGCUAUGUCAACGACAUUGUGAUUGGCAUCCUGGAGCUGCUCAAGUACCACCCUCGGGUGCUCUACAUUGACAUUGACAUCCACC
This 529-nucleotide small RNA is filed under the name Pan troglodytes (chimpanzee). RNAcentral describes it as "retained intron". Lineage: Eukaryota; Metazoa; Chordata; Mammalia; Primates; Hominidae. The record is from RNAcentral.